RNAcentral lists this ribosomal RNA (403 nucleotides) under uncultured bacterium. RNAcentral describes it as "partial 16S ribosomal RNA". It matches the Rfam family "Bacterial small subunit ribosomal RNA", at positions 28 to 526 of the family's 1533-position model. The record is from RNAcentral.
GACGAACGCUGGCGGCGUGCCUAAUACAUGCAAGUCGAACGCAGUGGGGACGGGUGAGUAACACGUGGGUAACCUCCCAUCAGAGGGGAUAACACUUGGAAACAGGUGCUAAACCGAUACUGAUGGAUGGACCCGCGGUGCAUUAGCUAUUUGGUGAGGUAACGGCUCACCAAGGCCACGAUGCAUAGACGACCUGAUGGGGUGAUCGGCCACGCUGGAACUGAGACACGGCCCAGACUCCUACGGUGUGCAGCAGAAGGGAAUCUUCGGGAAUGGACGAAAGUCUGACCGAGCAACGCAGCGUGAGUGAAGAGGGUUUUCGGAUCGUAAAACUCUGUUGUUAUAGAAGCGGUAUCUAACCAGAAAGCCACGGCGAAUUACGUGCCAGCAGCCGCGGUAAUUC